AUUUGCACAUUUCUCAAUUUUGUGGGUCAGAAACUGGCAGCACUCAGCUGAGUGACUCUUCUGUUUUAUGGGAAUUCACGGCGUUCACUCAGAGACAGAUAGCUGGUGGGUAGUCCAGUGCCAAGGACCAAGGAUGGCGUCACUUAUGUGUCUGGCCCUUGACAGGGAUGCUGGAAGUCUGGGCUCACCUGGGAGUGGAGAUGGCAACACCUACAUAUGACCUCUCCAGCACGGCAGUCGCAGAGUGGAUAUGGCAACAACUACACAUGACCUCCCCAGCAUGGCAGUCUCAGAGUGGAUAUGGCAACAGCUACACAUGACCUCUCCAGCAUGGCAGUCUCAGAGUGGAUAUGGCAACAGCUACACAUGACCUCUCCAGCAUGGCAGUCUCGGAGUGGAUAUGGCAACAGCUACACAUGACCUCUCCAGCAUGGCAGUCUCGGAGUGGAUUUGGCAACAGCUACACAUGACCUCUCCAGCAUGGCAGUCUCGGAGUGGAUAUGGCAACAGCUACACAUGACCUCUCCAGCAUGGCAGUCUCGGAGUAGAUAUGGCAACAGCUACACAUGACCUCUCCAGCAUGGCAGUCUCAGAGUGGAUAUGGCAACAGCUACACAUGACCUCUCCAGCGUGGCAGUCUCAGGUUACUGGCACUUCUUAGGUCUCAGCUGAGGACUCCAGUGCAGGUGUUGCAAGACAGCAGAUGCAGCACUGCUUAAGGGUAUCCUGAAGUCCCAGAAAGUUUCUUCAGGUACAUUCCAGUGGAGAAGGGAGUCACCAAGGCUGGACAGAGUCGUUUAUCCUUGGCAGGACUAGCAAAAAAUCUUCAGCAUCUCUCAUCGCACACACGUGGUUUUUCCAGGUGGUGAAGAUGUGGAAGAGGAGAAACCACAUAAAAAUGCAAUCACAUGAAUAAAUGUUGCCUACAAUGGCUGAAUUCGACUGAAGAACUUACACACUAAAUCAGGAUGCACAGGCUCAUGUUUAUGCCUUUGUCCCAGGCACCAACUUCUGUUGAACUUCUUUGCUGACCCUGCCUGAAGGUGGAGUUAACUAAAUGUUGUGUAGAUCUGUCUCAUAUCACUAUUUAGCCCAUUUGCAGAACUGCUGUAUUUAACUGUUCAGUGACAUUACAUUCACGAAGCUGACAAUUAUUCAGAAGCACAGUCAACAGCAGUGGAAAAGAUGGCUCAUGUGUGGCUCAGGCUGACUCCACAAUCAGAGUAAUUAUGUGGAAAUCAAUCAGAAUUUUCUUCUUAGAAGACAUUUGUUCUGACAUAAUGACUGACAUUCCAGCUAAUUUUUAUUCAUAGGCUUCUCCUUUCACAAUGAUCUCUAUUUCUCUAAAUGUUAUUCUGUGUCUUUCUUGCUUGCCUGCACAUUCUGAAAAAAAAGGAAAAUAAUUCCAUACAUUUUAUUUUGAUACUUAAUGUUGUUUGCUAACAUAUUCAGAACACAAUGAAACUUUAUUUAUUAGAGCACUUAUGAUAUAUAUUAGGAAAAUAUCAGUUAGGUACCACCAGUUAUUUUAGACAGGUAUCUCUUGGGGAAAAUGUGGUGAAAAUAGAGAGGUAAUGAUUGAAUUAAUAUGUGAAAGAGUCAGUCGGCCAUCAUUAUGCUAAAAUUAUUUUGCAGUUCAGGGGACAUUUUAAACUUUAUUUUUUAAGAAUUCAACUUUAAUUUAAUUUCUUGUAGUUGAAAGAAUUCUAAGAUGCCACCAAUGUCCCAGGCCUUGUCAAAAACAUCCUCUCGAGUGUGUGUGAGUGAGACCCGAAAAUUGCCCCUUGCUGCCAGAACACGGCAAAGGUGAUGGGAUCUUUUAUGUUUUGUGGCAAAAGUUAACCAUAUUUACAGGAGUGAUUAUUCUUCCUAAUCAGCUGACUUUAAGUUGAACAAAAGGGAGAUUUUCCUGGGUGAGUCCUGAUUUAAGCAAGAAAGGCUUUAAAAGAGGUCAGAGAAUGUAAAUGUGUGAGAAAUUAGAAGCAGCGGAGCCUCUGUUCUGGUGAUCUUCAGUAGCAGGUCACUGUGAAUUCUACAGCUCGACCAUCUUAUCACUGGACUGUUGGCCCUUUCUACAGCUCGGUCACCUUGAUCACUGGAAUAUGGGCCAUUGGAGCCACCGGCCAUCAUAUUAGCAAUCUGACUAUGUUGAGGCCACUGUGUUGUGAGGAAGCCCAAACUAGUCCAGAGACCCUGACACUAGUUUAAAGGAUAGAGAUGCCCCAUUAACCCUCCCCAGCUCUACUAUCACCCUCUGCUCCUCUCCCUACUCAGUCUUAGUCACCACUUAAAUGCAAUCACAAGGAAAGACUCUGAACUGGAAACACCAAGCCAAGCUCUUUCCUAGUUCUGGUGCCCUAUAAACUCUGAAAGUUAAUGCAAUUAUUAUUAUUUUUAAACCACCGAGUUUUCAGGGUGAUCAGUCAUGCAAGCCUGAAAAGGACUAUUCUUUCUGGCACUGAAAAUUACGAAGAGUGAUUAACAAGAUAAGAAUGUAGUUUGUGCUGUCUGCCAUGGAUUUGUGUUGUAGCUUUAGUGAUUGCUUGAAGCACCCUUACUAAUUGCCAGCCUAUUGCUGAUACCUAGCUAAAUUAGCAUAUGUUAGCUUUGAUACCACUAUAGGCAUUUAGAGGAUAGCUGAUAAGUUCUAUAUAAAAUAUAAUUACUUUCCUAUCUUUAGCUUAUCCUAAAGUAGCAGCUAUUAUAUUCUCUUCUUGAUUAGCUUUAUACAUAACCAGAGAAAGUAAAAUAUCACAGAGUAUAUUUGAAGACAUAAAAAUCUUUGAACAAAGUUCAAGUAAUGAAUCAGGAUGCUCUUACAUCCUCCACCUGACAGUAAAUAUAUUUUAUAUUCCUAAAUUUUAAUCUUUUAACAAAAGUAAACUAUAUACUGGAGCAUUUCAAUUUCUAGGGAAAUGAAAUUAUUAUUUACUGCCUUUGAGGCUAUAAUCUAUUUAGCUAUUAUUUUUAUAUUGAUCGAUUUAUAAUAAAGGUCAGAGAAAAUACAACCACAUAUAUGUUGUUUAUAUAAUUUUAACUUUUGUAAUUAAAAUACUGGGUAUACUGCAAGAUGUCAAUAUUUAUAAAACCCUAUAUUUGAAAAAAUGUAUUUUAUAUACUCCUAA
This is a non-coding RNA of Macaca mulatta (Rhesus monkey), 3125 nucleotides long. The record is from RefSeq and is a predicted model, not a curated record. NCBI's taxonomy places the organism in Eukaryota, Metazoa, Chordata, Mammalia, Primates, Cercopithecidae.